Molecule: ribosomal RNA, 760 nt
Filed under: Streptomyces sp. 6041
Lineage: Bacteria; Bacillati; Actinomycetota; Actinomycetes; Kitasatosporales; Streptomycetaceae
Description: bacterial SSU rRNA
Rfam family: Bacterial small subunit ribosomal RNA
Source: RNAcentral
CUUACACAUGCAGUCGAACGAUGAAGCCCUUCGGGGUGGAUUAGUGGCGAACGGGUGAGUAACACGUGGGCAAUCUGCCCUGCACUCUGGGACAAGCCCUGGAAACGGGGUCUAAUACCGGAUAUGACCGUCCAUCGCAUGGUGGAUGGUGUAAAGCUCCGGCGGUGCAGGAUGAGCCCGCGGCCUAUCAGCUAGUUGGUGAGGUAGUGGCUCACCAAGGCGACGACGGGUAGCCGGCCUGAGAGGGCGACCGGCCACACUGGGACUGAGACACGGCCCAGACUCCUACGGGAGGCAGCAGUGGGGAAUAUUGCACAAUGGGCGAAAGCCUGAUGCAGCGACGCCGCGUGAGGGAUGACGGCCUUCGGGUUGUAAACCUCUUUCAGCAGGGAAGAAGCGAAAGUGACGGUACCUGCAGAAGAAGCGCCGGCUAACUACGUGCCAGCAGCCGCGGUAAUACGUAGGGCGCAAGCGUUGUCCGGAAUUAUUGGGCGUAAAGAGCUCGUAGGCGGCUUGUCACGUCGGUUGUGAAAGCCCGGGGCUUAACCCCGGGUCUGCAGUCGAUACGGGCAGGCUAGAGUUCGGUAGGGGAGAUCGGAAUUCCUGGUGUAGCGGUGAAAUGCGCAGAUAUCAGGAGGAACACCGGUGGCGAAGGCGGAUCUCUGGGCCGAUACUGACGCUGAGGAGCGAAAGCGUGGGGAGCGAACAGGAUUAGAUACCCUGGUAGUCCACGCCGUAAACGGUGGGCACUAGGUGUGGG